This 774-nucleotide ribosomal RNA is filed under the name uncultured Neocallimastigales. Its description in RNAcentral is "partial large subunit ribosomal RNA". It matches the Rfam family "Eukaryotic large subunit ribosomal RNA", at positions 26 to 634 of the family's 3401-position model. Lineage: Eukaryota; Fungi; Neocallimastigomycota; Neocallimastigomycetes; Neocallimastigales. The record is from RNAcentral.
CGCAUCUGUGCAUGCAGCAUAUCAAUAAGCGGAGGAAAAGAAACUAACAAGGAUUCCCCUAGUAACGGCGAGUGAAGCGGGAAGAGCUCAAAUUUGAAAUCUUAAAGGGUUUCCCUUUACGAAUUGAUAGUUUAAAGAAGUGUUUUCUGUUGAGGUUUUGGUAAAAGUUCUUUGGAAUAGGACAUCAUAGAGGGUGAGAAUCCCGUAUUUGACCUUUACUUUCAACUUUGUGAUACACUUUCAAAGAGUCGGAUUGUUUGGGAAUGCAGUCCAAAUGGGUGGUAAAUUUCAUCUAAAGCUAAAUAUUGGCGAGAGACCGAUAGCGAACAAGUACCGUGAGGGAAAGAUGAAAAGAACUUUGAAAAGAGAGUUAAACAGUACGUGAAAUUGUCAAAAGGGAAGCGUUUGACACCAGUGUUGUUUUUCUGAAAAUCAAUUAAAGAACUGUUUAUGCUAAGUUGUUUAGACUUUAUCAGCUAUCUGUUUAGUUUUGAGCUUUUCUUUAAUGCACUUUUCAGUUAACAAGUCAACAUCAAUUUCUUUUGCUGUAAAAAAGCUUGAGGAAGGUGGCUUGAGAUUCGUCUUAAGUGUUUAUAGCCUCUUGCCUAUGCAGUCGGAGAGAUUGAGGUCUGCAGCGUAGAUCCUUCGGGGCUAAAUGCAUUUGUGCUAAGUUAUAACAUUUUAUAGACAACUUGUUGACUAUGACUUGUCUUGUAGCUUACUCGCUUAUGUUAUUUUACCUACGCUUAGGAUGUUGACAGCAGUAUAGACUGU